GGGGAUAACACUUAGAAAUAGGUGCUAAUACCGCAUAAGCGCACGGAGCUGCAUGGCUCAGUGUGAAAAACUCCGGUGGUGCAAGAUGGACCCGCGUCUGAUUAGCUUGUUGGCGGGGUAACGGCCCACCAAGGCGACGAUCAGUAGCCGGCCUGAGAGGGUGGACGGCCACAUUGGGACUGAGACACGGCCCAAACUCCUACGGGAGGCAGCAGUGGGGAAUAUUGGACAAUGGGGGGAACCCUGAUCCAGCGACGCCGCGUGAGUGAAGAAGUAUCUCGGUAUGUAAAGCUCUAUCAGCAGGGAAGAAAGAAAUGACGGUACCUGACCAAGAAGCCCCGGCUAACUACGUGCCAGCAGCCGCGGUAAUACGUAGGGGGCAAGCGUUAUCCGGAUUUACUGGGUGUAAAGGGAGCGUAGACGGUAAUGCAAGUCUGGAGUGAAAUGCAGGGGCUCAACCCCUGAACUGCUUUGGAAACUGUAUGACUGGAGUGCAGGAGAGGUAAGUGGAAUUCCUAGUGUAGCGGUGAAAUGCGUAGAUAUUAGGAGGAACACCAGUGGCGAAGGCGGCUUACUGGACUGUAACUGACGUUGAGGCUCGAAAGCGUGGGGAGCAAACAGGAUUAGAUACCCUGGUAGUCCACGCCGUAAACGAUCAU
Molecule: ribosomal RNA, 659 nt
Filed under: uncultured bacterium
Lineage: Bacteria
Description: bacterial SSU rRNA
Rfam family: Bacterial small subunit ribosomal RNA
Source: RNAcentral